RNAcentral lists this ribosomal RNA (255 nucleotides) under uncultured bacterium. RNAcentral's name for it is "partial 16S ribosomal RNA". It matches the Rfam family "Bacterial small subunit ribosomal RNA", at positions 793 to 1055 of the family's 1533-position model. The record is from RNAcentral.
GUCCACGCCGUAAACGAUGGAUACUAGCUGUUGGGGGCAACUUCAGUGGCUAAGCGAAAGUGAUAAGUAUCCCACCUGGGGAGUACGUUCGCAAGAAUGAAACUCAAAGGAAUUGACGGGGGCCCGCACAAGCGGUGGAGCAUGUGGUUUAAUUCGAUGAUACGCGAGGAACCUUACCAAGGCUUAAAUGUAGAUUGACAGGUUUGGAAACAGACUUUUCUUCGGACAAUUUACAAGGUGCUGCAUGGUUGUCGU